Molecule: ribosomal RNA, 355 nt
Filed under: uncultured bacterium
Lineage: Bacteria
Description: bacterial SSU rRNA
Rfam family: Bacterial small subunit ribosomal RNA
Source: RNAcentral
GGACCCGCACAAGUAGUGGAGCAUGUGGUUUAAUUCGAAGAUACGCGCAGAACCUUACCAACACUUGACAUGUUCGUCGCGACUUUAAGAGAUUAAAGUUUUCGGUUCGGCCGGACGAAACACAGGUGCUGCAUGGCUGUCGUCAGCUCGUGUCGUGAGAUGUUGGUUAAGUCCCGCAACGAGCGCAACCCUCACUUUUAGUUGCCAUCAUUAAGUUGGGCACUCUGAAAGAACUGCCAGUGAUAAGCGGGAGGAAGGUGUGGAUGACGUCAAGUCCUCAUGGCCCUUACGGGUUGGGCUACACACGUGCUACAAUGGUGAUGACAGUGGGCAGCGACCCCGCAAGGGUGGAGCU